GAAGUCAUUGAUGCCAUGCUUCCAGGAAAAGCCUCUAAGCUUCAGAUUGUAAGGAAUCGUACCCCAAACCGACACAGGUGGUCGGGUAGAGAAUACCAAGGCGCUUGAGAGAACUCGGGUGAAGGAACUAGGCAAAAUGGUACCGUAACUUCGGGAGAAGGUACGCUCUCGACGGUGAAGUCCCUCGCGGAUGGAGCUAUUGAGAGUCGCAGAUACCAGGUGGCUGCAACUGUUUAUUAAAAACACAGCACUGUGCAAAAUCGUAAGAUGACGUAUACGGUGUGACGCCUGCCCGGUGCCGGAAGGUUAAUUGAUGGGGUUAGACUUCGGUCGAAGCUCUUGAUCGAAGCCCCGGUAAACGGCGGCCGUAACUAUAACGGUCCUAAGGUAGCGAAAUUCCUUGUCGGGUAAGUUCCGACCUGCACGAAUGGCGUAAUGAUGGCCACGCUGUCUCCACCCGAGACUCAGUGAAAUUGAAAUCGCUGUGAAGAUGCAGUGUACCCGCGGCUAGACGGAAAGACCCCGUGAACCUUUACUACAGCUUGGCACUGAACAUUGACCCUACAUGUGUAGGAUAGGUGGGAGGCUUUGAAGCACGUACGCCAGUAUGUGUGGAGCCGUCCUUGAAAUACCACCCUUGUAGUGUUGAUGUUCUAACGUUGACCCCUAAUCGGGGUUGCGGACAGUGCCUGGUGGGUAGUUUGACUGGGGCGGUCUCCUCCCAAAGAGUAACGGAGGAGCACGAAGGUGGGCUAAUCACGGUUGGACAUCGUGAGGUUAGUGCAAUGGCAUAAGCCCGCUUGACUGCGAGAAUGACAAUUCGAGCAGGUGCGAAAGCAGGUCAUAGUGAUCCGGUGGUUCUGAAUGGAAGGGCCAUCGCUCAACGGAUAAAAGGUACUCCGGGGAUAACAGGCUGAUACCGCCCAAGAGUUCAUAUCGACGGCGGUGUUUGGCACCUCGAUGUCGGCUCAUCACAUCCUGGGGCUGAAGUCGGUCCCAAGGGUAUGGCUGUUCGCCAUUUAAAGUGGUACGCGAGCUGGGUUUAGAACGUCGUGAGACAGUUCGGUCCCUAUCUGCCGUGGGCGUUGGAAGAUUGAAGGGGGCUGCUCCUAGUACGAGAGGACCGGAGUGGACGAACCUCUGGUGUUCGGGUUGUGUCGCCAGACGCAUUGCCCGGUAGCUAAGUUCGGAAUCGAUAACCGCUGAAAGCAUCUAAGCGGGAAGCGAGCCCUGAGAUGAGUCUUCCCUGAUACUUUAAGUAUCCUAAAGGGUUGUCGGAGACUACGACGUUGAUAGGUCAGGUGUGUAAGUGCUGUGAGGCAUUGAGCUAACUGAUACUAAUUGCCCGUGAGGCUUAACCAUACAACACCCAAGGGGUUU
Molecule: ribosomal RNA, 1380 nt
Filed under: Vibrio parahaemolyticus
Lineage: Bacteria; Pseudomonadati; Pseudomonadota; Gammaproteobacteria; Vibrionales; Vibrionaceae
Description: partial 23S ribosomal RNA
Rfam family: Bacterial large subunit ribosomal RNA
Source: RNAcentral